UACGUAGGGGGCAAGCGUUGUCCGGAUUUAUUGGGCGUAAAGCGCGCGUAGGCGGCGCGGUAUGUCGUGCGUGAAAUCUCCCGGCUUAACUGGGAGGGGCCGUGCGAAACUGUCGGGCUAGAGUGCGGAAGAGGCGAGUGGAAUUCCUGGUGUAGCGGUGAAAUGCGCAGAUAUCAGGAGGAACACCAAUUGCGAAGGCAGCUCGCUGGGACGUAACUGACGCUGAGACGCGAAAGCGUGGGGAGCAAACAGG
This 253-nucleotide ribosomal RNA is filed under the name uncultured bacterium. RNAcentral's name for it is "partial 16S ribosomal RNA". It matches the Rfam family "Bacterial small subunit ribosomal RNA", at positions 524 to 776 of the family's 1533-position model. The record is from RNAcentral.